GAUGAACGCUGGCGGCGUGCUUAACACAUGCAAGUCGAACGAAGCAUUUAAGACAGAUUACUUCGGUUUGAAGUCUUUUAUGACUGAGUGGCGGACGGGUGAGUAACGCGUGGGUAACCUGCCUCAUACAGGGGGAUAGCAGCUGGAAACGGCUGGUAAUACCGCAUAAGCGCACAGUACCACAUGGUACAGUGUGAAAAACUCCGGUGGUAUGAGAUGGACCCGCGUCUGAUUAGCUUGGUGGCGGGGUAACGGCCCCCCAAGGCGACGAUCAGUAGCCGACCUGUGAGGGUGACCGGCCACACUGGGACUGAGACACGGCCCAGACUCCUACGGGAGGCAGCAGUGGGGAAUAUUGCACAAUGGAGGAAACUCUGAUGCAGCGACGCCGCGUGAGUGAAGAAGUAGUUCGCUAUGUAAAGCUCUAUCAGCAGGGAAGAUAGUGACGGUACCUGACGAAGAAGCUCCGGCUAAAUACGUG
Molecule: ribosomal RNA, 481 nt
Filed under: uncultured bacterium
Lineage: Bacteria
Description: partial 16S ribosomal RNA
Rfam family: Bacterial small subunit ribosomal RNA
Source: RNAcentral